Molecule: non-coding RNA, 45 nt
Filed under: Schistosoma haematobium
Lineage: Eukaryota; Metazoa; Platyhelminthes; Trematoda; Strigeidida; Schistosomatidae
Source: RNAcentral
AUCCAGUUGACGAGUCUUAAAUAGAACGAAACGUGCGUCCUAGAU